GGAGGAGCAACAGACAGUGGGAAUGAUGGCUGCUGUUGGUGUCGUUUUCAAAAAGUUACUAGUGAUUUUUGGGAGCCUCAGUUUUGGGGAAAUGUCUAAAUUCUUUGAUUUGGAAUUAAAGCAGAUUCCUGCAUGGUGCCACUUAUGAGAGCAUUGCAUGUGAAGGAGGAGACUUCAACCCAAAUGAUUCAAACAUGAGUGCCGAUGCAGAACAGUGACACAUCCCUGUGGUUGGAGAGUGGAAAACUGAAUUUCCUGCUCCCACCCUGCGGGAGCACUUCAAAUUUCAGCAGUCAGCAUUGUGUAUGUUGUAAUGAUGUGCUUGAAUAAACAAGG
Mauremys reevesii (Reeves's turtle) is the source of this 336-nucleotide long non-coding RNA. RefSeq lists it as uncharacterized. Lineage: Eukaryota; Metazoa; Chordata; Testudines; Geoemydidae. The record is from RefSeq and is a predicted model, not a curated record. The transcript is spliced from 3 exons.